UCAUCUAUAUCAGGAGUUCUCAACCUUUGUCUUUCUGAGGCCCCUCAACAUGAUAUAAAAAUUCCAUGGUCCACCUGUGCCACAAUUGUUUUUCUCCAUAUCCAAUAGAAUAAAAGCCAGAGCUGGCAUUAGGGGGUGGCAA
This is a non-coding RNA of Chelonoidis abingdonii (Abingdon island giant tortoise), 142 nucleotides long. The record is from RefSeq and is a predicted model, not a curated record. NCBI's taxonomy places the organism in Eukaryota, Metazoa, Chordata, Testudines, Testudinidae.